UGGGUAACCUGCCUCAAAGAGGGGAAUAGCCUCCCGAAAGGGAGAUUAAUACCGCAUAAUAUGUUUUAAUCGCAUGAUUUUAACAUCAAAGGAUUUUCUUUAGGAAAUUCCACUUUGAGAUGGACCCGCGGCGCAUUAGCUAGUUGGUGAGGUAACGGCUCACCAAGGCAACGAUGCGUAGCCGACCUGAGAGGGUGAUCGGCCACAUUGGAACUGAGACACGGUCCAGACUCCGUAGGAGG
This 242-nucleotide ribosomal RNA is filed under the name uncultured bacterium. RNAcentral's name for it is "partial 16S ribosomal RNA". It matches the Rfam family "Bacterial small subunit ribosomal RNA", at positions 118 to 348 of the family's 1533-position model. The record is from RNAcentral.